AUUGAACGCUGGCGGCAGGCCUAACACAUGCAAGUCGAGCGGAUGAAGGGAGCUUGCUCCUGGAUUCAGCGGCGGACGGGUGAGUAAUGCCUAGGAAUCUGCCUGGUAGUGGGGGAUAACGUCCGGAAACGGGCGCUAAUACCGCAUACGUCCUGAGGGAGAAAGUGGGGGAUCUUCGGACCUCACGCUAUCAGAUGAGCCUAGGUCGGAUUAGCUAGUUGGUGGGGUAAAGGCCUACCAAGGCGACGAUCCGUAACUGGUCUGAGAGGAUGAUCAGUCACACUGGAACUGAGACACGGUCCAGACUCCUACGGGAGGCAGCAGUGGGGAAUAUUGGACAAAGGGCGAAAGCCUGAUCCAGCCAUGCCGCGUGUGUGACGAAGGUCUUCGGAUUGUAAAGCACUUUAAGUUGGGAGGAAGGGCAGUAAGUUAAUACCUUGCUGUUUUGACGUUACCAACAGAAUAAGCACCGGCUAACUUCGUG
RNAcentral lists this ribosomal RNA (484 nucleotides) under uncultured bacterium. RNAcentral's name for it is "partial 16S ribosomal RNA". It matches the Rfam family "Bacterial small subunit ribosomal RNA", at positions 30 to 507 of the family's 1533-position model. The record is from RNAcentral.